RNAcentral lists this long non-coding RNA (1851 nucleotides) under Bemisia tabaci. Its description in RNAcentral is "lncRNA ENSSSA3NGG006538". Lineage: Eukaryota; Metazoa; Arthropoda; Insecta; Hemiptera; Aleyrodidae. The record is from RNAcentral.
AUGGACUUCAUGGUCGAGCUUGGAGGUGGUCUCAACGAAAAAGGACCUAGAAAUCGAACUUUUUCGGGCACCGAAAAGAAUUUGAAGGGAAUCAAGACGUCAGGGAGUCUAGGCGAUAUUAGUCGAAGGUUUAGUUUCACAUUGAGCGCCCCUGAAAAGUUCCAAGGCAGUGAUUUAGAGACCUCAGGCGAUAGGUUAAGUCCUAACUUAGGAGUCCCGGAAAAUUUUAAAGAUCCAAGCAAAUCACCUGUUCCUAAAAGGGAUGGAAAACAUUGCGCUAUUGACGGAGGAGCAGGAGAGAAAUUAAAUUUCAACCAAUUUACCCCUGAAAAGUUUGAAUGGCCGCGUAGCAUCUCCCCAAACUCUGUCAAUAAGAAAGUACUAGAUGGACCUGCUGAGUUCUCUAAAUUUUCAUUCAUGAAUGCAUCUCUUGAGAGUGGAUUGAAAACGAAUAAUUUAAGAGGGAGGAAGCACAGCUUUACUUUUGGGACUUCGGAACGACUAAAUGGCAGUCCGUUGACGCCUGAAAAACAGAGUGAAUCCAGGCAAAGAAAAUUUAGCUUCUCGUCUGAAACUACAAGGAAGUUUAAUGACAGUGUCCCAGCGGUGCCGAAGCUAGAAAAUAAUCUUAAGAGCGAGCAAAUUCAUCUUUGGCUGAAUCAUCAAGGAAGUGCUAAGUUUGAGGAACCCUUACUACCCAAUAAGGGACUCGCGUCAUUUGGAGGUAUAGCGGUUGUUGACAAAAAGAACCAAUUUCAAGAUUCUUCUGAUAAGUUCAAAAAUGGUUCUCCUCAGAAAGGACUGAAAAACCAUCAGGACAAUACUGCUCGCUCAAUCAGAAGCCCCGACCGGCUGAGUGACAAUAAAUUUGGUCAAUUUUUAGAGGUACCUGGUGAUGGUGACUGUGUGAAGCCAAUUAGGCUGAGCCACAGUGCUUCAUCAAUCGAUGAUGCGCAAAAAACUGGGAACGGCCUUUACUGGAGCGAGUCUAUGCCGAAUUUGGCUAAUCCUGGACACCUAACCGAUGAGAUAAACAUGACAACGUCCUCAGAUGAAUCAGAAACUGACUCUGAGAGGAGUGGCUGGGUUUCCAGUCACCAUUCCUCGAUUGCAUCCUCGAGUGAACACAGUCAGCAAGACGCGGACCCUCGGGUACUAAAUACUGAUACUCUUCGUAGAAAACUUGAAAAACUUGCGCGGAAAAAUCAAGAGAAAACGCCAGAAACAACUCCUGAGGAUGAGCACGUACUUUUCUCAGAAUCAUUGGAAAAACGAGUUCGGCAUCAAAAAGAUCAACAAACUCUUGAGCUUCCCGAACAUAUUCAACAAAAAGAUGGAGAGAGAAAUCCAGCUGACAAACAACUUCACCUCUUACAAGGAGUGCAAAAACAACCUCCAAAGCGUUAUAGGAGUCUGUCUUCAGAAAACAUCUACAAUAUUCGCUGUCCGCCAUAUUUUGAAAAAAUGGAGCUCCCGCGAAAAAUUGGUAAGGACUGUGAGAAGUCCGUCGAGGCGGAGUCAAUGAAGACUACGACGUCCCGGCGGCACGAAUUUAGCGCGAGCAGCGAGGCGAUUCUCCUAGACGAGAGCGCGUCCUCCCCGGUUCGGAGCACCCGAGCGACCGAGAGGGUGAGCUGGACGCCGUCUACGAGGAGCUCCAGGUGCCCCCGCCGCGGCAGUUUGCGGAUGCGCCCUCCCCGCCGAGGGCCUUCCGCGAUGGCGAGUCCCACCCCAAACUCCCCGGCUCCGUGGAUAAUAUUCUCUACCACGUUUACGAAGCCGUUGAGACCGACAGGGGAGCCAACGAGGAGGACACUCCUGUCCAGGCACCGGUCCAACCGAAAAGUUUGA